GAUAACCUACUAUAAGACUGGGAUAACUUCGGGAAACCGGAGCUAAUACCGGAUAAUAUAUUGAACCGCAUGGUUCAAUAGUGAAAGACGGUUUUGCUGUCACUUAUAGAUGGAUCCGCGCCGCAUUAGCUAGUUGGUAAGGUAACGGCUUACCAAGGCAACGAUGCGUAGCCGACCUGAGAGGGUGAUCGGCCACACUGGAACUGAGACACGGUCCAG
RNAcentral lists this ribosomal RNA (219 nucleotides) under uncultured Staphylococcus sp. RNAcentral's name for it is "partial 16S ribosomal RNA". It matches the Rfam family "Bacterial small subunit ribosomal RNA", at positions 120 to 334 of the family's 1533-position model. Lineage: Bacteria; Bacillati; Bacillota; Bacilli; Caryophanales; Staphylococcaceae. The record is from RNAcentral.